GAGGAUAUAGCUCAGUGGUAGAGUGCGUGCCUAGCAUGUGCAAGGUCCUGGGUCCAAUCCCCAGCACCUCCA
This 72-nucleotide transfer RNA is filed under the name Camelus bactrianus (Bactrian camel). It matches the Rfam family "tRNA". Rfam says of the family: Transfer RNA (tRNA) molecules are approximately 80 nucleotides in length. Their secondary structure includes four short double-helical elements and three loops (D, anti-codon, and T loops). The record is from Rfam by way of RNAcentral. RNAcentral also lists the same sequence under 2 other names. Lineage: Eukaryota; Metazoa; Chordata; Mammalia; Artiodactyla; Camelidae.